Molecule: ribosomal RNA, 253 nt
Filed under: uncultured bacterium
Lineage: Bacteria
Description: partial 16S ribosomal RNA
Rfam family: Bacterial small subunit ribosomal RNA
Source: RNAcentral
UACGGGGGGGGCAAGCGUUGUUCGGAAUUACUGGGCGUAAAGGGCUCGUAGGCGGCCAACUAAGUCAGACGUGAAAUCCCUCGGCUUAACCGGGGAACUGCAUCUGAUACUGGAUGGCUUGAGUUCGGGAGAGGGAUGCGGAAUUCCAGGUGUAGCGGUGAAAUGCGUAGAUAUCGGGAGGAACACCGGUGGCGAAGGCGGCGACCUGGGACAAUACUGACGCUGAGGUGCGAAAGCGUGGGGAGCAAACAGG